AGCAGUAGCCGCGGUAAAACGUAGGGUGCAGGCGUUAAUCGGAAUUACUGGGCGUAAAGCGUGCGCAGGCGGUUCGUUAAGACAGAUGUGAAAUCCCCGGGCUUAACCUGGGAACUGCAUUUGUGACUGGCGGGCUAGAGUAUGGCAGAGGGGGGUAGAAUUCCACGUGUAGCAGUGAAAUGCGUAGAGAUGUGGAGGAAUACCGAUGGCGAAGGCAGCCCCCUGGGCCAAUACUGACGCUCAUGCACGAAAGCGUGGGGAGCAAACAGGAUUAGAUACCCCCGUAGUCCCUGUCUCUUAUAC
This 303-nucleotide ribosomal RNA is filed under the name uncultured bacterium. RNAcentral describes it as "partial 16S ribosomal RNA". It matches the Rfam family "Bacterial small subunit ribosomal RNA", at positions 507 to 807 of the family's 1533-position model. The record is from RNAcentral.